AGUUCGGAUUGAAGGCUGAAAUUACGCCUUUAUUGAAGCCGGAAUUGCUAGUAAUGGCAGGUCAGCAUACUGCCGUGAAUACGUUCCCGGGCCUUGUACACACCGCCCGUCACACCAUGAGAGUUGGGAAUACCCGAAGCCUGUGAGCUAACUUUUAGAGGCAGCAGUCGAAGGUAGAAUCAAUGAUUGGGGUGAAGUCGUAACAAGGUACC
Molecule: ribosomal RNA, 212 nt
Filed under: uncultured bacterium
Lineage: Bacteria
Description: partial 16S ribosomal RNA
Rfam family: Bacterial small subunit ribosomal RNA
Source: RNAcentral